AACGAACGCUGGCGGCAGGCCUAACACAUGCAAGUCGAACGCCCUAGCAAUAGGGAGUGGCAGACGGGUGAGUAGCACGUGGGAACCUUCCCUAUAGUAUGGAAUAGCCCAGGGAAACUUGGAGUAAUACCGUAUACGCCCGAGAGGGGAAAGAUUUAUCGCUAUAGGAUGGGCCCGCGUAGGAUUAGCUAGUUGGUGAGGUAAUGGCUCACCAAGGCGACGAUCCUUAGCUGGUCUGAGAGGACGACCAGCCACACUGGGACUGAGACACGGCCCAGACUCCUACGGGAGGCAGCAGUGGGGAAUAUUGGACAAUGGGCGCAAGCCUGAUCCAGCCAUGCCGCGUGAGUGAUGAAGGCCUUAGGGUUGUAAAGCUCUGUUGCCGGGGACGAUAAUGACGGUACCCGGAGAAUAAGUCCCGGCUAACUUCGUGCCAGCAGCCGCGGUAA
This 449-nucleotide ribosomal RNA is filed under the name uncultured bacterium. RNAcentral's name for it is "partial 16S ribosomal RNA". It matches the Rfam family "Bacterial small subunit ribosomal RNA", at positions 29 to 523 of the family's 1533-position model. The record is from RNAcentral.